Molecule: non-coding RNA, 216 nt
Organism: Pelobates cultripes (western spadefoot toad)
Lineage: Eukaryota; Metazoa; Chordata; Amphibia; Anura; Pelobatidae
Source: the annotation of a GenBank genome assembly
GGACAUCCAGAUUCUAAAUCCAAGUUACAGAAAGUGCAAAGUGCUGCUGGGCAGGGGCACCGUUGGUUAGCUAGAGCGGUUUUACUCUAAGCCAAUCAGUAGCUCCCAAUUGCUAAAAACACAUACACAAAGACAUCAUCUUACUCUUAUCGAUCUACCUCCACAUUUACUUUUGUUGUUGAAGUAAAUAAAUGUUUAUUCUAAGUUGUUUGAAAC